Molecule: ribosomal RNA, 460 nt
Filed under: uncultured bacterium
Lineage: Bacteria
Description: partial 16S ribosomal RNA
Rfam family: Bacterial small subunit ribosomal RNA
Source: RNAcentral
CCUACGGGUGGCUGCAGUGAGGAAUAUUGGUCAAUGGCCGGAAGGCUGAACCAGCCAAGCCGCGUGAAGGACGAAGGUGCCAAGCAUUGUAAACUUCUUUUGUCAAGGGACAAAAUCAGGCUCGAGAGCCUGACCGAGGGUACUUGAAGAAAAAGCAUCGGCUAACUCCGUGCCAGCAGCCGCGGUAAUACGGAGGAUUCGAGCGUUAUCCGGAUUUAUUGGGUUUAAAGGGUGCGUAGGCUGUCGGAUAAGUUAGAGGUCAAAUGUCGGGGCUUAACCCCGUGCCUGCCUCUGAUACUGUUCGACUAGAGAGCGGAUGCAGCAGGCGGAAUGAGUAGUGUAGCGGUGAAAUGCUUAGAUAUUACUCAGAACACCGAUUGCGCAGGCAGCUUGCUAAUCCGCAUCUGACGCUGAUGCACGAAAGCGUGGGUAGCGAACAGGAUUAGAUACCCGAGUAGUC